This 28-nucleotide non-coding RNA is filed under the name Mus musculus (house mouse). Lineage: Eukaryota; Metazoa; Chordata; Mammalia; Rodentia; Muridae. The record is from RNAcentral.
UGGACGAUAACGACCACAGGGAGGGACA